Oryza sativa Indica Group (long-grained rice) is the source of this 207-nucleotide microRNA precursor. It matches the Rfam family "MIR812 microRNA precursor family". The record is from Rfam. Lineage: Eukaryota; Viridiplantae; Streptophyta; Magnoliopsida; Poales; Poaceae.
UCCAAAAAAAGACAAACCUUUCCGUGUCUAACGUUUGACCGUCCGUCUUAUUUAAAAAAAUUAUAAAAAAAAAUUAAAAAGACAAGUCACGCACAAAGUAUUAAUCAUGUUUUAUCAUCUAACAACAAUAAAAACACGAAUUAUAAAAAAAUUUCAUAUAAGACGGACAGUCAAAGUUGAACACGAAAAUUUAGGGUUUACCUUUUU